AAAGGCAGUGAGCGUCUUUCCUUGGGCUGCGUGUGCCGAGCGUAGACAAUGAAAAUCUUCAUCCCCCUCCCCCAUUCCACUAGGCUACAAGAUUCUUGUUUUCGUUCCUUCUCACCGGUGGAAGAUGUGUAAAAUCAAAGAUGUAGAGGUGUGUAGUGAUUUUUUUAAAAGCCAACUAACCCACCGCACGGGCUGCGACGCGGAUUACCCGAGCGCACGCCGGCUGGGCGCAUUCUGGGGUCUCUGCGCAAGACCAGCUCUCAGCUCUCUCUCCUUUCCUCGGACUCUGGAGCGGGAGCGGGCCUUUCCCUCGGGUCGACCACGCCGUAGGGGACGCCGUGAAAAGAGCCGUCGCGCCCGCUGCCUCCUGCCCGCUGCGCAGAGGGCUCCGCCCGUAGAGGUCAACUUCCCUCACCCUUUUCUGUCUCCUGCUCGCCCUCCCUCCGCCCGGCCCAGGCGCUUGCAGCCCCAGACUGUGGCCACUGGCUGAGGAGUGCGAGUCGGCUGCGCUGCCCUGAGCCUAAUCCCUCUUCCGGGCCCAGACCCGAGGUCCGCGCUCCUGGGCAGUGGGGAAGCUUUAGUGAGCAGGCUUUUCUCUCCGCAGCAAACUCGUAGCCAGACCAGAUGGGCCGCCCAGCUCUCUCGGGACUAGGCAGGUGCGGUUGAGUUAAUUUUUCCGCAUUACAAAGAAAGAUGACCCAGCCCGCCCUUGGACUCUCUUUUCCCAAAAUCUCCCAACCAAACCCGCGGUAACGUUAUCAAAGGACACAGAGCCCAGGCAUAUCUGUGUGUUUAUCUUACAGGCACACAAGCAAGGUUUUCUCUUUUAUAUGCUAGAUUUCAUCCCUGACAGCAGAAAAUGAUUGGCAACGGUUCUGACGGAGAACAUGCAAUAGCGUGGUCCUUAAAAACCUGCCAUUCCUUACAAGUGCCUUAGAAAGGAUUCAGGGCGAACCAACUGGGUUAAUUGCAUUCAGUAAAAUAACACGAUUACAAAAUUA
Molecule: long non-coding RNA, 1001 nt
Filed under: Pan troglodytes (chimpanzee)
Lineage: Eukaryota; Metazoa; Chordata; Mammalia; Primates; Hominidae
Description: lincRNA
Source: RNAcentral